CUGUAGUCAGAUUCACAAGACAGUUCACAAGAUGGUUUAGUGAGGUCCUCGGAUCGGCCCAACCGGAGUUGGUCAUGGCCCUGGCGGAGUAAAUGUUACUUGGGUCACUGUGACAUUUCUUGAGCUACACGCAUGCAAACGAGCGUUGCAUUUAUCAGACCCAAAACCUUUUCUUGGGGGCGCCCCCGGCUACUCUGGUGACUUUACAAAAUCUGGAGAUCAUCGCUACCUCUCUCUUUUAAAUGUCUGCCUUAUCAACGUUUGAUGGCAUCUUCUGUCCCUACCAUGGUGCCAACGGGUAACGAGGAAUCAGGGUUCAAUUUUGGAGCAGUAGCCUGAGAAAUGGGUACCACAUCCAAAGAAAGCAGCAGACGCGCAAAUUAGCCACUCCCGACUCAGGGAGAUAAUGACAAAAAACCAUAAAAGACUCUUUUAAAGGCCAUGUAUGUGGAAUGAGUAUACUUUAAAUCCUUUAAUAAGGAUCCAUUGGAGGGUAAGUCUGGUGCCAGAAGCCACGAUAAUUCCUGCUCCAAUAG
Molecule: non-coding RNA, 536 nt
Filed under: Oryzias latipes (Japanese medaka)
Lineage: Eukaryota; Metazoa; Chordata; Actinopteri; Beloniformes; Adrianichthyidae
Description: Eukaryotic small subunit ribosomal RNA
Rfam family: Eukaryotic small subunit ribosomal RNA
Source: Rfam by way of RNAcentral